CGUCAAAGGGGCUGUGAGAUGCG
This 23-nucleotide microRNA is filed under the name Cordylochernes scorpioides. Lineage: Eukaryota; Metazoa; Arthropoda; Arachnida; Pseudoscorpiones; Chernetidae. The record is from RNAcentral.